Molecule: long non-coding RNA, 1025 nt
Organism: Ceratitis capitata (Mediterranean fruit fly)
Lineage: Eukaryota; Metazoa; Arthropoda; Insecta; Diptera; Tephritidae
Exons: 2
Source: RefSeq, a predicted model, not a curated record
CAUAUUAUAUAUGCAUGUAAAUAUGAAUGCAUAAUCCAACUGAAAAUAUGUAUGUGUGCAGCAGUUAAGUCAGAAAAAAGUGUCGUAAAAUGAAGUAGUACAUAUAAUAUGUAUAUAGGUAUGUUUACGAAAAUUUAACACUUUACUAGGUUUUCUAAAUAAUAUUAAACAGCAAAAAUCAUUUUUAGAACUUAAGCUCAUCUCAUAAGGUACAUGCACACGUACAUACAUAAGUACAUAACUGAAAUACAUGCAAUUUAGUAUUUUUCCUAUUUUUGUACAUUUGAAGAAACUCUUUAAUUGCAUUAAUUCAUUGGCAUAAUUUAGUGUUUACACUUUGUAACCAAGCAGUGAGAAUAAGAGAAUGACAGAGAGAGAGAGAACAAAACAAAUAUACUUGAUUAGAUACGAGAAUCUUCUAUGUUGUGAAAUACUACAUUGACGUUUCCUUUUCAACAAUUAUCCGUAUUGGAGUUAUGUUAGGGCCGGUCGGUAAUUACAGGCACCAGCUGCAUGACGCAGCAACAAAACAUACGCCAGCAUUUGUAUUGUAGGCACGCAAGAAAACACCAAUAACAAGAAACAACAACAACAACAGCACUGCACACAUUGCACCAUCAGCAGCUGCUACAUUUCAUUCCCUUCACACAUUAAAAAAAAGCAUAGAUUGACUUUAAUGCAAAACCAAGGCUUUGUUUCCAAUAAGCAAUGAACUCUUCCCGCUCCAAUUGGAUUGUCAUAAGUAGCAAAGGUAAACAGCAGUACCAGCAGUAGCAGCGUCGCGGCGUCAACGCCAGCAGAUACAGACUUUCAUUUUAUUUACGCCAAAGCAUUCGCGUAUAAAAACAUUUUCACACUAAACAACUUGAUAUCACAAAACGCCAUUGUGAUUUAUUUAUUUUACCAAAAGGGUACAAAGUAAACCGCAAAACUCGAUUUAUGUGCACUUUGCACGUUUUCUUGUCGUUCACUGCCUCGUCGUAUCUUCGUUCGCAUAUAACGUCGUCGCAAUCAGACACAAAAAA